Cyclopterus lumpus (lumpfish) is the source of this 1017-nucleotide long non-coding RNA. RefSeq lists it as uncharacterized. NCBI's taxonomy places the organism in Eukaryota, Metazoa, Chordata, Actinopteri, Perciformes, Cyclopteridae. The transcript is spliced from 3 exons. The record is from RefSeq and is a predicted model, not a curated record.
AGAGCAAAGGAGGAAAAAUACUUCACAGUAAAUGGGCGUGAAAGUUUCACACCGAGUUUCACUGCCGGCUCUCAGUCCUGUCAUUCAACAACUUAUACAGCACCGGGCUUCACGGGGACAGGCCGGGCCUCGGAGACGUUCAUCUUUGGGACUCCCACUACAAUGAAAGCCCCUGCGUUUGGAUGACCAUGUGGGGAAAAUCUUAACCAAAACGUUCAACUUUCAAAAAAAAGGAAGAAGUUUCUUGUGAAAGCCGUCACCUGAAACUGGACAUUUGUUCCGGCGACGCCUGUCAAUACACCUGCAAUAGGACUUUAAUAUCACUCUGGGUCACAUUCUGGACAACUACGAACUCACUGAAGACUGAGGAUUUAAAAUUGAAUCAGAAAUGUCUACAUCACCUCCGACACGUGAAACGGUGGAUGAGGUGGCGAUCCUGCUGACGACCGUCCCGGGGGCUGGAGACACACACAAUACUCCAUCAAUCAUCAGUGCUGGACCGAGCGCUGCCUCCUGCUGCGAUGACGAGCACCACAGGAAACUGGCCAUCUGCAGCAUCAUCUGUGGGAUCUCCUGCAUCGGAAUCAAGGCUCUGAUAAGUUCAGUCAAGGCCGAGAGAACAGCAGAUCCAGAGAGAGCGGAAACGUAUUCAAAACAGGCAAAAAAGUUUGGCAUCAUCUCCAUCGUUGUUUGGGUUUCACUUCUGGUUUUAACUCCCAUUCUGGUUGUGCUGGUCUCUUAUCUCCUCACUCUGGGAGACUGAUCAACUUUGAUGAAUCGCUCCAGAAGACGACCAGAGUGACUUUAUGGAUGCUUAUGGAGACGGACAGCAGCACAAAGCUACUCAAACUGCUAAACGGCACGAAGAAACCCAAAACAUUUUCUUGUUUCUUGUGCCGACAACAUGAAUGCCGUCUCAAUUUACACUUUUCUACUUACUCUAAACCACGUAUCUCUUUACACAAGGAUCAACCACUCUAGAGACCAGUAUCAAAAAGUUUACAACUUGUACAUGUU